GGAUGCGAUCAUACCAGCACUAAAGCACCGGAUCCCAUCAGAACUCCGAAGUUAAGCGUGCUUGGGCGAGAGUAGUACUAGGAUGGGUGACUGUCACACCCUAGCUAGUCAUGCAUCAG
RNAcentral lists this ribosomal RNA (119 nucleotides) under Triticum aestivum (bread wheat). Lineage: Eukaryota; Viridiplantae; Streptophyta; Magnoliopsida; Poales; Poaceae. The record is from RNAcentral.